Non-coding RNA from Prunus mume (Japanese apricot), 794 nucleotides. The record is from RefSeq and is a predicted model, not a curated record. NCBI's taxonomy places the organism in Eukaryota, Viridiplantae, Streptophyta, Magnoliopsida, Rosales, Rosaceae.
CACUCUCAGACGCAGACGCUGAAGAAGAAGAACGACGAAGCAGCACACACACCCACACUACAGAGAGAGGCGGGGUCAUUUCUUUAUCAACCAAACCAAACGCCGUCGUCGUCAGCCAUCAGUAGCCAUGAAGGUGCGUUCCUCUGUGAAGAAGAUGUGUGAGUUUUGUAAGACGGUUAAACGUCGUGGGCGUGUUUAUGUGCUUUGCACAGCCAAUCCCAAGCAUAAGCAAAGACAGGGCAUGUCAACAUUUGCAUACGAAGGCACGGUGUCUUCCAUGUACACAGAGACUAGUGCCAAGCUGGAGAACAGCUCUGGUCACACCGUGCAAGCAGGUCUGGCCUCUCUGAUACCCAAAAAGCACGAACCCUCGAUGCCCUCUAUACCCUCUACGAUACUUGGAUGGAGGGUGGGCCUGGCCUCCCUGCUGUUCAACAAGGCCAAGUAGCUUUGAAAUUUGAAAUGGGAAGAAUGCAAACCUUAUCUCAGUUUUUAGGUUCCUUUCUUUGGUUGUGCUGCCAGAGAUAUAUUCAAAAUGUUAUUAGCUCCUCUCUUUUUCUCUUGGAUUUUAACUUUUAAUCUGCUACUAUAUAUAAUACUUCCAUCUCUCCCUCGCUUUCUGGUGUGUGUGUGUGUGUGUGUUUAGACUUAGCUGUGCUAGAGAUUCUGAUCGUAGCGACCUUACCUGCUCCACAUAUAUAAUUCAGGAAAUGAGAUGGCUCGAAUUGUUAAGGACACUUUAUCUGAUUUCCUGGAAGAGAAUUAGAUGGUAUGAAAGUGAAACGUAAUUUGGA